UCCCUGGGGGCUCAGAUGGAAAAGCGUCUGCCUAUAAUGCAGGAGAACCAGGUUCAAUCCCUGGGUCAGGGAA
Ovis aries (sheep) is the source of this 73-nucleotide non-coding RNA. NCBI's taxonomy places the organism in Eukaryota, Metazoa, Chordata, Mammalia, Artiodactyla, Bovidae. The record is from Rfam.